UGCAGUCGAACGAUGAACCUCACUUGUGGGGGGAUUAGUGGCGAACGGGUGAGUAACACGUGAGUAACCUGCCCUUGACUCUGGGAUAAGCCUGGGAAACCGGGUCUAAUACUGGAUACGACCUUCUGGCGCAUGCCAUGUUGGUGGAAAGCUUUUGUGGUUUUGGAUGGACUCGCGGCCUAUCAGCUUGUUGGUGGGGUAAUGGCCUACCAAGGCGACGACGGGUAGCCGGCCUGAGAGGGUGACCGGCCACACUGGGACUGAGACACGGCCCAGACUCCUACGGGAGGCAGCAGUGGGGAAUAUUGCACAAUGGGCGCAAGCCUGAUGCAGCGACGCCGCGUGAGGGAUGAAGGCCUUCGGGUUGUAAACCUCUUUCAGUAGGGAAGAAGCUGGUCCUUCGGGGUUGGUGACGGUACCUGCAGAAGAAGCGCCGGCUAACUACGUGCCAGCAGCCGCGGUAAUACGUAGGGCGCAAGCGUUAUCCGGAAUUAUUGGGCGUAAAGAGCUCGUAGGCGGUUUGUCGCGUCUGCCGUGAAAGUCCGGGGCUUAACUCCGGAUCUGCGGUGGGUACGGGCAGACUAGAGUGCAGUAGGGGAGACUGGAAUUCCUGGUGUAGCGGUGAAAUGCGCAGAUAUCAGGAGGAACACCGAUGGCGAAGGCAGGUCUCUGGGCUGUAACUGACGCUGAGGAGCGAAAGCAUGGGGAGCGAACAGGAUUAGAUACCCUGGUAGUCCAUGCCGUAAACGUUGGGCACUAGGUGUGGGGGACA
This 772-nucleotide ribosomal RNA is filed under the name Arthrobacter sp. 6-3. Its description in RNAcentral is "bacterial SSU rRNA". It matches the Rfam family "Bacterial small subunit ribosomal RNA", at positions 56 to 831 of the family's 1533-position model. The record is from RNAcentral. Lineage: Bacteria; Bacillati; Actinomycetota; Actinomycetes; Micrococcales; Micrococcaceae.